UACGGAGGAUGCAAGCGUUAUCCGGAAUUAUUGGGCGUAAAGCGUCCGUAGGUGGUUUAUCAAGUCUGCUGUUAAAGGCCGAGGCUUAACCUCGGGAGAGCAGUGGAAACUGAUGGACUAGAGAGCGGCAGGGGUGGGGGGAAUUCCCGGUGUAGCGGUGAAAUGCGUAGAUAUCGGGAAGAACACCAGUGGCGAAAGCGCCCUACUGGGCCGCAUCUGACACUGAGGGACGAAAGCUAGGGGAGCGAAAGGG
RNAcentral lists this ribosomal RNA (253 nucleotides) under uncultured bacterium. Its description in RNAcentral is "partial 16S ribosomal RNA". It matches the Rfam family "Bacterial small subunit ribosomal RNA", at positions 524 to 776 of the family's 1533-position model. The record is from RNAcentral.